GAUGAACGCUAGCGGCAGGCUUAAUACAUGCAAGUCGAGGGGCAGCACGGUUAGCAAUAACUGGUGGCGACCGGCGCACGGGUGCGUAACACGUAUACAAUCUACCUUAAACAGGGGGAUAGCCUUUCGAAAGAGAGAUUAAUACCCCGUAAUAAAUUGAACGGCAUCGUUUGAUUUUGAAAGCUCCGGCGGUUUGAGAUGAGUAUGCGUCUGAUUAGCUAGUUGGUGAGGUAACGGCUCACCAAGGCGACGAUCAGUAGGGGAGUCUGAGAGGACUAACCCCACCACU
Molecule: ribosomal RNA, 289 nt
Filed under: uncultured bacterium
Lineage: Bacteria
Description: partial 16S ribosomal RNA
Rfam family: Bacterial small subunit ribosomal RNA
Source: RNAcentral